RNAcentral lists this ribosomal RNA (442 nucleotides) under uncultured bacterium. Its description in RNAcentral is "partial 16S ribosomal RNA". It matches the Rfam family "Bacterial small subunit ribosomal RNA", at positions 338 to 795 of the family's 1533-position model. The record is from RNAcentral.
CCUACGGGGGGCAGCAGUAGGGAAUCUUUCACAAUGGGCGAAAGCCUGAUGGAGCAACGCCGCGUGCAGGAUGAAGGCCUUCGGGUUGUAAACUGCUUUUAUAAGCGAGAAAUAUGAUGGUAACUUAUGAAUAAGGAUCGGCUAACUACGUGCCAGCAGCCGCGGUCAUACGUAGGAUCCGAGCAUUAUCCGGAGUGACUGGGUGUAAAGAGUUGCGUAGGUGGGAUAAUAAGUAGCUAGUGAAAUCUGGUGGCUCAACCAUUCAGACUAUUAGCUAAACUGUUAAGCUCGAGACCGUUAGGGGUAACUGGAAUUUCUAGUGUAGGAGUGAAAUCCGUAGAUAUUAGAAGGAACACCAAUAGCGUAGGCAGGUUGCUGGGACGGUUCUGACACUAAGGCACGAAAGCGUAGGGAGCAAACGGGAUUAGAUACCCCUGCAGUC